AAAUUCGAGUAAUCGCUGCAAUUUAUUGUAGAGGAAAGUCCAUGCUCACACGGCUCUGAGAUGACCGUAGUGUUCGUGCUUACUGAAAAAAUAAGGUAAGGCAAGGUGAUUCACCUUGACGGCGGAAGGAAAACCUAAGUCGGUUUCGAUAUGGUUGACACUUCCUGAAAGUGCCACAGUGACGGAGCUUUAUUGGAAACAAUAAAGGUGGAACGAGGUAAACCCCACGAGUGAGAAACCCAAAUUAUGGUAGGGGCACUCUCCAAAAGGAAUUGAACGGAUGGAGGGACGAGAAGCCUAAUUCUCGUAGAUAGAUGAUUACUACCCGAUACGUACGAGGCUAACGCCGCUUGAGUACCCGGGAACAAAACAUGGCUUAUGAA
This 383-nucleotide RNase P RNA is filed under the name Ureibacillus chungkukjangi. RNAcentral describes it as "RNase P RNA component class B". It matches the Rfam family "Bacterial RNase P class B". Rfam says of the family: Ribonuclease P (RNase P) is a ubiquitous endoribonuclease, found in archaea, bacteria and eukarya as well as chloroplasts and mitochondria. Its best characterised activity is the generation of mature 5'-ends of tRNAs by cleaving the 5'-leader elements of precursor-tRNAs. Lineage: Bacteria; Bacillati; Bacillota; Bacilli; Caryophanales; Caryophanaceae. The record is from RNAcentral.